RNAcentral lists this unclassified non-coding RNA (283 nucleotides) under plant metagenome. RNAcentral's name for it is "partial contains small subunit ribosomal RNA, internal transcribed spacer 1, and 5.8S ribosomal RNA". The stretch from base 1 to 53 matches the Rfam family "Eukaryotic small subunit ribosomal RNA", at positions 1778 to 1831 of the family's 1831-position model. The record is from RNAcentral.
GGAAGUAAAAGCGUAACAAGGUCUCCGUUGGUGAACCAGCGGAGGGAUCAUUACCGAGUUUACAACUCCCAAACCCCUAUGUGAACGUUACCAAACUGUUGCCUCGGCGGGAAAUUCAUGCCCCGGGCGCGUCGCAGCCCCGGACCAAGGCGCCCGCCGGAGGACCAACCAAAACUCUUUUGUAUGUCCCUCGCGGACUUUUAUAAUUCUGAACCAUCUCGGCGCCCCUAGCGGGCGUUUCGAAAAUGAAUCAAAACUUUCAACAACGGAUCUCUUGGUUCUG